CCUACGGGAGGCUGCAGUGAGGAAUAUUGGUCAAUGGGCGCGAGCCUGAACCAGCCAAGUCGCGUGAGGGAAGACGGUCCUAUGGAUUGUAAACCUCUUUUGUCGGGGAGCCAAAGACGCCACUCGUGGCGUUCCGAGAGUACCCGAAGAAAAAGCAUCGGCUACCUCCGUGCCAGCAGCCGCGGUAAUACGGAGGAUGCGAGCGUUAUCCGGAUUUAGUGGGUUUAAAGGGUGCGCAGGCGGAAUAUCAAGUCAGCGGUAAAAUUGAGAGGCUCAACCUCUUCGAGCCGUUGAAACUGGUUUUCUUGAGUGAGCGAGAAGUAUGCGGAAUGCGUGGUGUAGCGGUGAAAUGCAUAGAUAUCACGCAGAACUCCGAUUGCGAAGGCAGCAUACCGGCGCUCAACUGACGCUCAUGCACGAAAGUGUGGGUAUCGAACAGGAUUAGAUACCCGUGUAGUC
RNAcentral lists this ribosomal RNA (459 nucleotides) under uncultured bacterium. RNAcentral's name for it is "partial 16S ribosomal RNA". It matches the Rfam family "Bacterial small subunit ribosomal RNA", at positions 338 to 795 of the family's 1533-position model. The record is from RNAcentral.